AUGACAAUCAACAAAGCUCAAGGUCAAACUAUUCCAAAUGUUGGCAUCUAUCUUCCAGAGCCGGUGUUCUCUCAUGGUCAACUCUAUGUUGCUUUAUCAAGAGGGAUGUCAAGACAAACAACAAGAAUACUUGCAAAGCCAAAUAAGGAAAUUGAUCCAUCAGGAAAAAGCAACAAAAACAUUGUCUAUAAAGAUGUCUUGACGUGUGGCACCGGCCAUGGAGAUGGCGCCACGGCUGCCCUGCCUGCUCCUGUAGCUGGGAGGAGAGGAUUGGGGCUGGGUUGGGCCAAAACUAUUACCUUAAGGCCCAGAGGCACAAUGAUAGGUUUUCUUUUUUUAUUUACUUUCUUUUAG
This 354-nucleotide ribosomal RNA is filed under the name Triticum aestivum (bread wheat). Its description in RNAcentral is "partial small subunit ribosomal RNA". The record is from RNAcentral. Lineage: Eukaryota; Viridiplantae; Streptophyta; Magnoliopsida; Poales; Poaceae.